RNAcentral lists this long non-coding RNA (400 nucleotides) under Fukomys damarensis (Damara mole-rat). Its description in RNAcentral is "lncRNA (ENSFDAG00000027178.1)". The record is from RNAcentral. Lineage: Eukaryota; Metazoa; Chordata; Mammalia; Rodentia; Bathyergidae.
UUGAACUCAUAAUAUGGAUGAUAAUUUCACUUUCAAAUUAAUGAGUUUUAAAUUUGUAACUUUCCAGUUCAGAGUGAGACUUUCAGAAACAAAAUUGAAAUAACUAAAUGAGAUGCAUACUUUAUUGUGAUUGUAAGGAACACAGCGUGAAUAAAGACAUAAAAGGGUUAACAGCAAGAAUAAAGUCGCAAACAGAGGCUUGCCAGCAGCUGGUAAAUGAGCCAAGGAGAAGGAGUGGACGAACUUGUUUUCAGAGGUCAUCGCAAUGGAGCCCAUACGGGGGAUUCUACACAGCUGAUAAGGGAGGAGCAUGAGCAAAAGCCUACCCAGUGAUCAUCUUGGUAUCUGCUGGUCUCAGGACUCCCUAGGGAAAGGAGGUUGAAGAAGCGAGAAAAAGGGA